GAUAAAAAAAGAAAAUAAAAUUUAUUUGAUAGAAAUAUACUAAAAUAUUAUAUUAUAAAAAUAACAUAGAGUAAAGUUUAUUAAAAUAAAAUUAAUUCCUAUAGAACAAUACUGUAAAGGAAAUUUGAAUUAAGUUAAAACUAAAAGAAAAAAAGAAAGAACAAAUCUGUACCUUUUGUAUUAUGGAAGGCUAAAAAAAUAAAGAAGUGUUUUUAUAAACGAAAUAAUAUGAGUUAUUUGUUUCCCCAUAAUUGAUGGUGUGGUCUAACUGUAGAAAAAUUAUGACUAGAGGAACAAAUAGUAGUGAAAUGCUAAUCGAAUAUUAUUAUAGCUUUUUUUCAGAGAAAUUAGUGUUAGCUAAAAUAAAAUUAUUUUUUUGGAAAACUAGUCGGCUGAUCGAUUAGUUUUUGGAGGUAAUAACCUUAAAAUUAAAGAAAAGACAAUAAAUAAAUUGAGAAUUGUGAAGAAGUAGGAUUUAAGCAUCCCUCUAUUAAGAAAGCGUUUGAGCUCCUUUAACAAAACAUUAGAAAUUAUUGAUAGUUAUUCUGUUCUUAUUAUAUUUUAUCUGACUUAUGAAAAUUAUUCAUGUAAUAAUGGCUUUAUGAGUAAAAUAACUUUAUUUUAAGUAAUAAUAAUAGUAAUAAUAUAAAAUAAAAUACUACCAUAAAUUAUUCUUAUCUUAGAAGAGAAAUUAAAUAACAACUAUAGGGAGAGGAACUCGGCAAAUUUUUCUCUCGCCUGUUUACCUAAAACAUCGCUCCUAGAUAACUAAUUAAGGGGUCCUGCCUGCCCAGUGAUCUGAGGAUUAAACGGCUGCGGUACUCUGACCGUACAAAGGUAGCAUAAUCAUUUGCCUGUUAAUUCCAGGCUGGAAUCAACGGCUAGACGAAGGGGAUACUGUCUUUCUCUAUAAAAUUAGAAAUUAGUUUUUUGGUGAAGAAACCAAAAUAAUAAAGUGGGACGAGAAGACCCUAUUGAGCUUUAGUUUUAUAUAAUAAUCGUUUAUUAUAAAAUCUUUAGUUGGGGCAACUGAUUUUACACUAAAACAAAAUCAAAAAAAAGAAUUGAGUCUACUAUUUUGACCCAUAAAAAUUGUGGUAAUUAGAAAAAGUUACCAUAGGGAUAACAGCGUAAUUUUCUUUGAGAGUACAUAUUGACAAGGAAGUUUGCGACCUCGAUGUUGGAUCAAGAUAUCCUGGAGGUGCAGCCGCUUCCAAGGGUGGGUUUGUUCAACCCCUAAAAUCUUACGCGAUCUGAGUUCAGUCCGUCGUGAGACAGGACAGUUUCUAUCUACUAACAUUUCCUUCUUGUACGAAAGGACUUUUGGAAAAUAAAAAAGGGCUAUAGCUCAUUUAUAUAAAAUAUU
RNAcentral lists this ribosomal RNA (1366 nucleotides) under Ophionotus victoriae. Its description in RNAcentral is "16S ribosomal RNA". The stretch from base 676 to 1366 matches the Rfam family "Archaeal large subunit ribosomal RNA", at positions 1423 to 2906 of the family's 2987-position model. Lineage: Eukaryota; Metazoa; Echinodermata; Ophiuroidea; Amphilepidida; Ophiuridae. The record is from RNAcentral.